Long non-coding RNA from Zalophus californianus (California sea lion), 1656 nucleotides. RefSeq lists it as uncharacterized. NCBI's taxonomy places the organism in Eukaryota, Metazoa, Chordata, Mammalia, Carnivora, Otariidae. The transcript has 2 exons. The record is from RefSeq and is a predicted model, not a curated record.
CCGCGGCGCCUGCGCGUCCACACCCUUCCGCCGCGUCUCGUCGCGUCAGCGCGCGCCAAGGGCUAGCUCCGCCCUAGUCUCGCGCCCCACCAUGGGCUCGUGGAGCUUCCACUGCGGCUGCGCGUCUGGCUCAUGGUGGGGGCCUUAAGGCUUCUACUGCUGCUGCGCACACUAGGCGCGCGCUCGCGAGUUCCCUUCUUGCGGCUCCUCCCUCCAGUCAAGUUCCGUCGGGGUGUGUGUGCAGCCUCCGCUCUUUGGUGAGUUUUCCAAAUAGUUCUCUGAAGUCGUUUCCUCGUGACCAGCGCUAAACUUUCUCCCACUGCUUUUGAGAAGAGGUCCUCUCCUUGAACUCUCACUCCGGGCUCCACGUGAAAGACUUGUGUCGGGUUGGGGAGGCCGACGCCACCGCGUUGUGCUCCGGUGGCGGGCUCCGUCGGAUUCCGGGAGACCGAGACUUAACUGACUCGCAGCUCACUUGCAUAUUCCGGCAGCCUCGUGAGUGCAGCCGUGUGGCCGUUGCUCACCAGGCUAGGGCCAGCAGCUGUGGCCACACCAGCUCCCCAGCCCCCGAAUCCACCCCACAAUCCAGUGACUCGACGGGAGGAGCGCCCUCUACUGGCGACGAGGUUCCCUGUGGGGGCAAGGGGUUCUCGCCCGUAAGACCCAGGAAGGGGACCUGGCUGGGAGGGCGGUCGCGCAGCCACAGUGAGAGCCCGCGCGACCCCCCAUACCCAGGCUCCAAGCUGCCUGAAAGGUUUUUGGCUUUUUUUUUUGGCUUUUUGGUGGACCUUCGGAUGAGUGGUGGCCCCGGGGGUCACUCGUUUACUCUGUGCCAGGCACAGUACCAGGCACUGGGGUACAUCUGGAAACAAAAUCCGCACGGCCCCUGACCUCCCUUAGGAACAAAUCAAUAAGAGGAUUUGGUUUAGCGGUGAGCGCUAUUCCAUGAAUGAACGAAACAGGGUAAUGGAAGAGGCAGAGGCAUCAAGGGAAGGCUCUCAGGAGGCCAUGGUUGAGCCUACGGUUAUGAACAGCCCAGCCUGUGAAGGUGGUGGGGGAGACACUCCAGUUAGAGGGAGAUAGCCCCUGAGGCUGGAGUAUUUGAGGGACAGGUGGAGGGUAGGUGUAACUAGAACAUUUUAAAUGAGGGGGGAAGAUAAGUUGGGACUAAAUAGGUCACUAGGCCAUAGUAAAGAACUUGAAUUGUAUUCCGAGAACCAUGGGAAGCUGUUAGAAGGUUAUCAGAAGAAUAAAAUGAACGUUAAAAAUGUUUGAUAUAAAUCUGUGUGGUGUAUCGGGUACUAGAAGACACCCAGUGGAAUUAGGGCUACCUCAAAAGUAAUAUAAAUGAAAUACUUAACAAAAAGCUAGAGAUUUCCUCCUAAGGCAGUAUCUGGGGAUCAUUUCUGUGAUGCCUGAAGCACUUUGCUAGUUAUGAUGACGACCAUUCAAGGAAACGUGCCCUCUCCGGGAUGUUAGAAGUUGGGAGUAGCUUCCAUCUUUUUGGCACCUAUCAUAUGCCAGGAGAUAAAAGUGGGAGAAUGAAGGAAUAUUGAAGAGGACUAGAGAGCAGCAAAGACAUGAACCAUUACCCCAAAAUGAGAAAGGAGGACAUACAAAGAAAAAGAUCAUUACAAAUAAAAAUAAACUAACGGA